UUCCGGUUGAUCCUGCCGGAGGUUACUGCUAUCGGUGUUCGCCUAAGCCAUGCGAGUCAUAUGUAGCAAUACAUGGCGUACUGCUCAGUAACACGUGGAUAACCUGCCCUUGGGACCGGCAUAACCCCGGGAAACUGGGGAUAAUUCCGGAUAACGCAUAUGUGCUGGAAUGCUUUAUGCGUAAAAUGGAUUCGUCUGCCCAAGGAUGGGUCUGCGGCCUAUCAGGUAGUAGUGGGUGUAAUGUACCUACUAGCCAGCGACGGGUACGGGUUGUGAGAGCAAGAGCCCGGAGAUGGAUUCUGAGACAUGAAUCCAGGCCCUACGGGGCGCAGCAGGCGCGAAAACUUUACAAUGCGGGAAACCGUGAUAAGGGGACACCGAGUGCCAGCAUCAUAUGCUGGCUGUCCAGGUGUGUAAAAUACACCUGUUAGCAAGGGCCGGGCAAGACCGGUGCCAGCCGCCGCGGUAACACCGGCGGCCCGAGUGGUGAUCGUGAUUAUUGGGUCUAAAGGGUCCGUAGCCGGUUUGGUCAGUCCUCCGGGAAAUCUGAUAGCUCAACUAUUAGGCUUUCGGGGGAUACUGCCAGACUUGGAACCGGGAGAGGUAAGAGGUAC
This 614-nucleotide ribosomal RNA is filed under the name uncultured archaeon. RNAcentral describes it as "bacterial SSU rRNA". It matches the Rfam family "Archaeal small subunit ribosomal RNA", at positions 1 to 618 of the family's 1478-position model. The record is from RNAcentral.